Molecule: non-coding RNA, 483 nt
Filed under: Ipomoea nil (Japanese morning glory)
Lineage: Eukaryota; Viridiplantae; Streptophyta; Magnoliopsida; Solanales; Convolvulaceae
Description: Eukaryotic small subunit ribosomal RNA
Rfam family: Eukaryotic small subunit ribosomal RNA
Source: Rfam by way of RNAcentral
GGGUGCCAAAAACAUUGGCACCUGCGUAUGAAACACAAAAACCACUCAUCCCCCCAAUAGAGGCGUAGGGAAUGAGGUCUAAACCUUCACUUUGAACAUUUUUUUUCGAGAUUCUAUGGGUGGUGGUGCAUGGCCGUUCUUAGUUGGUGGAGCGAUUUGUCUGGUUAAUUUCGUUAGCGAACGAGACCUUAGCCUGCUAACUAGCUAUGCGGAGGUAUCCCUCUGCGACUAGCUUCUAAGAGUGACUACGACCUUUCAAGCCGCGGAAGUUUGAGGCAAUAAGAUGUUUGUGAUGCCCUUAGAUAUUCUGGGCCGCACGCGCGCUACACUGAUGUAUUCAACGAGCAUAUAGCCUUGGCCGACAGGCUUAGGUAAUCUUUGAAAUUUCAUCGUGAUGGGGAUAGUUCAUUACAAUUGUUGGUCUUCAACGAGGAAUUCCUAGAAAGCGCGAGUCUUCAGCUCGCGUUGACUCCGUCCUUGCCC